GUCGUAACAAGGUAGCCGUAGGGGAACCUGCGGUUGGAUCACCUCCUUACCUGAAGAUACUCUCCCGCGUAGUGUCCACAACAGAUUGUCUGAUAGAAAACGUAAUGAGCAACAGUAACAGAGUCCCCAUCGUCUAGAGGCCCAGGACACUGCCCUUUCACGGCUGUAACAGGGGUUCGAAUCCCCUUGGGGACGCCAUCUCCUGAUAAUGAGUGAAAGACAUUAUCAACCAGUAUCUCAAAACUGAUUCUCUCCGCAAGGACGAGUCACGUUUGAGAUAUUUGCUCUUUAACAAUCCGGAACAAGCUGAAAAUUGAAACGACAUGUCGUUUUCAUUCUCCGUAAUAAGAAUGAAAUCAACGAUAUGUUCGAGUCUCUCAAAUGCUUACAACAGCAAUGUGUCUUUCGGGACGCUUGUGGGUUGUGAGGUUAAGUGACUAAGCGUACACGGUGGAUGCCUUGGC
Molecule: unclassified non-coding RNA, 464 nt
Filed under: uncultured bacterium
Lineage: Bacteria
Description: partial contains 16S ribosomal RNA, 16S-23S ribosomal RNA intergenic spacer, and 23S ribosomal RNA
Rfam family: Salmonella enterica Typhi npcRNA 44 (bases 287-419)
Source: RNAcentral